This is a small nucleolar RNA of Physeter macrocephalus (sperm whale), 129 nucleotides long. Lineage: Eukaryota; Metazoa; Chordata; Mammalia; Artiodactyla; Physeteridae. The record is from Ensembl.
GUUGAGGUCUAUCCCGAUGAGGCUUUUUCUGUAAACCUACAUCAUUGGAAACGCCUCACAGAGUAACUGUGGUUUCCUUUACUCACUGAACUACCUGUUAGAUCAGUGGGGAAGAACUACAAGACAGAG